Molecule: unclassified non-coding RNA, 261 nt
Filed under: air metagenome
Description: partial contains small subunit ribosomal RNA, internal transcribed spacer 1, and 5.8S ribosomal RNA
Rfam family: Eukaryotic small subunit ribosomal RNA (bases 1-46)
Source: RNAcentral
AAGUCGUAACAAGGUCUCCGUUGGUGAACCAGCGGAGGGAUCAUUAAAAGAAGCCGAAAGGCUACUUAAAACCAUCGCGAACACGUCCAAGUUGCUUCGGCGGCGCGGGGCCCCUUCCCGGGGCGCCGCUGCCCUCCGCCCCCGGGUCUCCGGGAGGUGCGGGGCGCCCGCCGGAGGUACGAAACUCUUAUGUAUCACAGUGGCAUCUCUGAGUGAAAAACAAAUAAGUUAAAACUUUCAACAACGGAUCUCUUGGUUCUG